RNAcentral lists this ribosomal RNA (261 nucleotides) under uncultured bacterium. Its description in RNAcentral is "partial 16S ribosomal RNA". It matches the Rfam family "Bacterial small subunit ribosomal RNA", at positions 15 to 263 of the family's 1533-position model. The record is from RNAcentral.
GAUCAUGGCUCAGGAUGAACGCUAGCUACAGGCUUAACACAUGCAAGUCGAGGGGCAUCGGGAAGAAAGCUUGCUUUCUUUGCUGGCGACCGGCGCACGGGUGAGUAACACGUAUCCAACCUGCCCUUUACUCGGGGAUAGCCUUUCGAAAGAAAGAUUAAUACCCGAUGGGAUAAUUAUUCCGCAUGGUUUGAUUAUUAAAGGAUUCCGGUAAAGGAUGGGGAUACGUUCCUACUUAGGUUUGGUUUGGUGAGGUAACGG